Molecule: ribosomal RNA, 254 nt
Filed under: uncultured bacterium
Lineage: Bacteria
Description: partial 16S ribosomal RNA
Rfam family: Bacterial small subunit ribosomal RNA
Source: RNAcentral
CACGUAGGGGCCAAGCGUUGUCCGGAUUCAUUGGGCGUAAAGAGCUCGUAGGCGGUUCAGUCAGUCGGGUGUGAAAUCUCCGGGCUCAACUCGGAGGGGCCACCCGAUACUGCUGUGACUCGAGUCCGGUAGGGGAGUGGGGAAUUCCUGGUGUAGCGGUGAAAUGCGCAGAUAUCAGGAGGAACACCGGUGGCGAAGGCGCCACUCUGGGCCGGUACUGACGCUGAGGAGCGAAAGCCAGGGGAGCAAACGGG